RNAcentral lists this ribosomal RNA (497 nucleotides) under uncultured bacterium. Its description in RNAcentral is "partial 16S ribosomal RNA". It matches the Rfam family "Bacterial small subunit ribosomal RNA", at positions 28 to 507 of the family's 1533-position model. The record is from RNAcentral.
GAUGAACGCUGGCGGCGUGCCUAAUACAUGCAAGUCGAGCGAACGGACGAGAAUCUUGCUUCUCUGAUGUGAGCGGCGGACGGGUGAGUAACGCGUGUAUAACCUACCUGUAAUACUGGGAUAACUUCGGAAAACCGGAUCUAAUACCGUAUGAUAUUUUGAACCGCAUUGGUCAAAAGUGAGAUACGGUCUUGCUGGCACUUAUAGAUGGAUCCGCGCUUCAUGAGCGAGUUGUUAAGGUAACGGCUUACGAAGGCAACGAUGCAUAGACGACAUGAGUGGGUGGUAGGCCACACUGGAACGGAGACACGGUCCAGACUAAUAAGGGAGGCAGCAGUAGGGAACCUUGAGCAAUGGGCGAAAGCUUGACGGAGCAACGCCGAGUGAGUGAUGAAGGUCUUCGGAUCGUAAAAAUCUGCUAUUAGGGAAGAACCUAUGUGUACGUAAAUGUGCACAUAUUGACGGUACCUAAUAAGAAAGCAACGGCUAACUACGUG